GACGAACGCUGGCGGCGUGCUUAACACAUGCAAGUCGAACGAUGAAGCUGGAGCUUGCUCCGGUGGAUUAGUGGCGAACGGGUGAGUAACACGUGAGCAAUCUGCCCUUGACUCUGGGAUAACUGCGGGAAACUGUAGCUAAUACCGGAUACUUUCCUUGGUGGGCAUCCACUGGGGAAGAAAGAAUUUCGGUCAAGGAUGAGGUCGCGGCCUAUCAGCUAGUUGGUGAGGUAAUGGCUCACCAAGGCGACGACGGGUAGCCGGCCUGAGAGGGUGACCGGCCACACUGGAACUGAGACACGGUCCAGACUCCUACGGGAGGCAGCAGUGGGGAAUAUUGCACAAUGGGCGAAAGCCUGAUGCAGCAACGCCGCGUGAGGGACGAAGGCCUUCGGGUUGCAAACCUCUUUUAGCAGGGAAGAAGCGAAAGUGACGGUACCUGCAGAAAAAGCACCGGCUAACUACGUGCCAGCCGCCGCGGUAA
This 484-nucleotide ribosomal RNA is filed under the name uncultured bacterium. RNAcentral describes it as "partial 16S ribosomal RNA". It matches the Rfam family "Bacterial small subunit ribosomal RNA", at positions 28 to 523 of the family's 1533-position model. The record is from RNAcentral.